Molecule: ribosomal RNA, 207 nt
Filed under: uncultured bacterium
Lineage: Bacteria
Description: partial 16S ribosomal RNA
Rfam family: Bacterial small subunit ribosomal RNA
Source: RNAcentral
CGCGUAGGCGGGUUUUUAAGUCAGAUGUGAAAACUCCGGGCUCAACCUGGAGACUGCAUUUGAAACUGGAAAUCUUGAGGGCAGGAGAGGAAAGUGGAAUUCCUAGUGUAGCGGUGAAAUGCGUAGAUAUUAGGAGGAACACCAGUGGCGAAGGCGACUUUCUGGACUGUACCUGACGCUGAGGCGCGAAAGCGUGGGGAGCGAACA